UGCCAUAGUUGGAAGGCAGGUAGAAGGUAGUGAGGCCCCCUCAGCCUUCAUCCCAGCAGCUGGGGCUACACUAUACCAGCUCCCAGUCUAGAUGGGUGCUGAGCACAGGGAUUAAAAUCAUGAAUAGGGGCUCAGGCCUUACUCUCAGCAGCUCAUAGUCUAAGGGGAUUCCAGUACCACCAUCUACGUGAGUGUAUAAAUUCUGCCUCCUCCUUUCCCCCAGUCCAGCUUCCUUGGGUAAGCCUGCUGGAGGGAAUGGACACGGGGAUGGGGGUGAAGGGCAGCUACCCAGACCCCUGGUGGCAGGCCCCAAGCCCACUAAGCACCCAGCCAGGGCAGUGUGGAGCACAAGGCCUGUUGGAGCUCAGGCCACACCCACUCAUACUGGCCUCCACAUGCCCUUCUGUGUUCCCAGAAGUCGACAGUGUGGGGAGUUGGAGUGACCCGGCUGGAUGUGACCCCCAGGACAGAAUGGUGCUGGACUCAGGGGCUCAAGUGUAUGAACAGGCACCCCCCAGCCCACCAACCAGUCCCUCAUCCUUGGGCCAUAGGCUGAAGCCCUCAGACCGAGAUGGGACACUGCUGUACCCCUGGCCUCAGUCCCUGGCCUUGCCCCUGGCUCUGUCAAUCCCCUCAGCCCUGCGGCCCCAGCCUGAGCUGCAGCCCUUCUCAGAGCUGCACGUGGGCCCCCGUGGCCACAUGCGUCGCAGUGAGAGCACCUAUACUGUAAAUAGUACUGGCCGGCGGGGGGGUGGCACCCAGGGUCGGGGCCCACCUGGACGGGGACGGGACCCAGGCGGGGGCACCCUGCGGUCUGCAGCCUCCCUGCCUCACAUUGCUAAGACUCGAAAGGAUGCGGGCCAUGGUGCCAGCAAGAGCCCUUGCAUGUUGGUGGCCUUGAGGCCAACCAAUAUGGACCGAGAGCGGGACAAGUUCUUCCAGUCCCACUACACCUACAACCCACAGUUCGAGUACCAGGAGCCCAUGCCCACGGCUGUGCUGGAGAAGUACUGUGAGGCUUCUGGACAGUUCAUCCAUCAGGCAGUUGGCAUCAUUGAGGCUGUCCUGGAGAAGUUUGGUACCUAUGAACACUUUGAAGCUGCAACGGGGGGCCAGCUGCUGACCAAGUGCCAGAUCUGGUCCAUUGUUCGCAAAUACAUGCAGAAGGAGGGCUGUGUUGGGGAGGUUGUGGUGCAGCUGAGUGAAGACCUGCUGUCCCAGGCAGUGAUGAUGGUGGAGAACAGCCGACCAACAUUGGCCAUCAACCUGACUGGGGCCCGCCAGUAUUGGUUGGAGGGCAUGCUGCGGCACGAGAUAGGCACUCACUACCUGCGGGGCGUGAACAACGCGCGGCAGCCGUGGCACAGCGCUGAGGGCCGGCUGCAGUACGGGCUGCGGCCGGCGAACCCCACGGAGGAGGGCUUGGCCAGCCUGCACAGCGUGCUGUUCCGCAAGCAGCCCUUUCUGUGGCGCGCCGCACUGCUCUACUACACCAUCCAUCGCGCCUCGCGCAUGUCCUUCCGCCAGCUCUUCCAGGACCUGGCGCGCUAUGUGCAGGACGCCGACGUGCGCUGGGAGUACUGCGUGCGCGCCAAGCGCGGCCAGACUGACACCUCGCUGCCCGGCUGCUUCAGCAAGGAUCAGGUGUACCUGGAUGGCAUCGUGCGCAUUCUGCGGCACCGCCAGACCAUCGAUUUCCCAUUGCUGACCUCACUGGGCAAGGUCCCUUCCCUCAAGCUGACCUAGAGAACCGUGACGGGGGAACCGUGGGGCUGGCAGAAGCUGGCACGCCGGCGUUCAGCGGUGGGUGUGGGGUCUGCGGUGCCUGAGGGAGAUCCCAGGGAAGGUGUUCAGGAGGCAGCUGGAUACCUAGGUUUGGAGGUGUCCUAUGAGGAUGUAGACCACCUGCGGCCCCAUGGGGUGCUGGCCAAUACCCGGGUGCCCCACUUCAUGCAAGACUUGGCGCGCUACCGGCAGCAGCUGGAGCACAUCAUGGCCACCAACCGGCUG
Molecule: RNA transcript, 2010 nt
Organism: Mirounga angustirostris (Northern elephant seal)
Lineage: Eukaryota; Metazoa; Chordata; Mammalia; Carnivora; Phocidae
Gene: MATCAP1
Gene name: microtubule associated tyrosine carboxypeptidase 1
Exons: 7
Source: RefSeq, a predicted model, not a curated record